RNAcentral lists this ribosomal RNA (460 nucleotides) under uncultured bacterium. RNAcentral describes it as "partial 16S ribosomal RNA". It matches the Rfam family "Bacterial small subunit ribosomal RNA", at positions 338 to 795 of the family's 1533-position model. The record is from RNAcentral.
CCUACGAGUGGCAGCAGUGAGGAAUAUUGGUCAAUGGGCGCGAGCCUGAACCAGCCAAGUAGCGUGAAGGAUGACUGCCCUAUGGGUUGUAAACUUCUUUUAUAAGGGAAUAAAGUGAGGCACGUGUGCCUUUUUGUAUGUACCUUAUGAAUAAGGAUCGGCUAACUCCGUGCCAGCAGCCGCGGUAAUACGGAGGAUCCGAGCGUUAUCCGGAUUUAUUGGGUUUAAAGGGAGCGUAGAUGGGUUGUUAAGUCAGUUGUGAAAGUUUGCGGCUCAACCGUAAAAUUGCAAUUGAUACUGGCAGUCUUGAGUACAGUUGAGGUAGGCGGAAUUCGUGGUGUAGCGGUGAAAUGCUUAGAUAGCACGAAGAACUCCGAUUGCGAAGGCAGCUUACUAAACUGCCACUGACAUUGAGGCUCGAAAGUGUGGGUAUCAAACAGGAUUAGAUACCCCAGUAGUC